GACGGAUACUGCGGAUUGGGCCGUGGAAGCGCAGCGACUCGGUGACUCGCAACAAGAAUCGCAGGCUCUCUUGGAUGGAUCGGACUUUCAAGGGGAACCGCGAGCAAUUUGUCAGCGAGCAUG
This 123-nucleotide ribosomal RNA is filed under the name Polarella glacialis. RNAcentral describes it as "partial 5.8S ribosomal RNA". Lineage: Eukaryota; Dinophyceae; Suessiales; Suessiaceae. The record is from RNAcentral.